RNAcentral lists this ribosomal RNA (246 nucleotides) under uncultured bacterium. RNAcentral describes it as "partial 16S ribosomal RNA". It matches the Rfam family "Bacterial small subunit ribosomal RNA", at positions 109 to 353 of the family's 1533-position model. The record is from RNAcentral.
AGUAACGCGUGGGUAACCUGCCUCAUACACAUGGAUAACAUACCGAAAGGUAUGCUAAUACAAGAUGAUAUAAGAGAUUCGCGUGGAUUUCUUAUCAAAGCUCCGGCGGUAUGAGAUGGACCCGCGUCUGAUUAGCUAGUUGGUAAGGUAAUGGCUUACCAAGGCGACGAUCAGUAGCCGACCUGAGAGGGUGAUCGGCCACAUUGGAACUGAGACACGGUCCAAACUCCUACGGGAGGCAGCAUG